RNAcentral lists this ribosomal RNA (249 nucleotides) under uncultured Actinomycetales bacterium. Its description in RNAcentral is "partial 16S ribosomal RNA". It matches the Rfam family "Bacterial small subunit ribosomal RNA", at positions 84 to 334 of the family's 1533-position model. The record is from RNAcentral. Lineage: Bacteria; Bacillati; Actinomycetota; Actinomycetes; Actinomycetales.
GGGGUGCUCGAGUGGCGAACGGGUGAGUAACACGUGAGUAACCUGCCCUUGACUUUGGGAUAACUUCAGGAAACUGGGGCUAAUACCGGAUAGGAGCUCCUGCUGCAUGGUGGGGGUUGGAAAGUUUCGGCGGUUGGGGAUGGACUCGCGGCUUAUCAGCUUGUUGGUGGGGUAGUGGCUUACCAAGGCUUUGGCGGGUAGCCGGCCUGAGAGGGUGACCGGCCACAUUGGGACUGAGAUACGGCCCAG